GUGUCAGCAGCCGCGGUAAAGCGUAGGUACCGAGCGUUAUCCGGAUUCACUGGGCGUAAAGCGCGUGCAGGUGGUUUGGUUAGUCGGGCAUGAAAUCUCUUGGCUCAACUGAGAGACGCUGUCCGAUACUGCCGAACUUGAGGGUGUGAGAGGGAGGUGGAAUUCCGCAUGUAGUGGUGAAAUGCGUAGAUAUGCGGAGGAACACCAGUGGCGAAGGCGGCCUCCUGGCACACUCCUGACACUCAGACGCGAAAGCUAGGGGAGCGAACGGGAUUAGAAACCCCCGUAGUCC
This 292-nucleotide ribosomal RNA is filed under the name uncultured bacterium. RNAcentral's name for it is "partial 16S ribosomal RNA". It matches the Rfam family "Bacterial small subunit ribosomal RNA", at positions 505 to 796 of the family's 1533-position model. The record is from RNAcentral.